CUUGGUAUAUCUAAAUAUAAGGGCUGGGUUCUUACCUCAGUAAUGUGUUGAAUACACUACGAAGA
Molecule: transfer RNA, 65 nt
Filed under: Echeneibothrium williamsi
Lineage: Eukaryota; Metazoa; Platyhelminthes; Cestoda; Rhinebothriidea; Echeneibothriidae
Description: tRNA-Lys
Source: RNAcentral